Molecule: ribosomal RNA, 325 nt
Filed under: uncultured eukaryote
Lineage: Eukaryota
Description: partial 18S ribosomal RNA
Rfam family: Eukaryotic small subunit ribosomal RNA
Source: RNAcentral
CCCUUAGAUGUUCUGGGCCGCACGCGCGCUACACUGAAGGGAUCAGCGUGUUUUCCCUUUCCGAGAGGAACGGGUAACCCGCUGAACCCCCUUCGUGGUAGGGAUCGGAGCUUGCAAUUGUUCUCCGUGAACCAGGAAUUCCCAGUAAGCGCAAGUCAUAAGCUUGCGUUGAUUACGUCCCUGCCCUUGUACACACCGCCCGUCGCUACUACCGAUUGAACGUUUUAGUGAGGUAUUUGGACUGGGCCUUGGGAGGUUUCGGCCUCCCUUGUUGCUCGGAAAGACUCCCAAACUUGAGCGUUUAGAGGAAGUAAAAGUCGUAACA